CGGACGGGUGAGUAACACGUGGGUAACCUACCUAUAAGACUGGGAUAACUUCGGGAAACCGGAGCUAAUACCGGAUAAUAUUUCGAACCGCAUGGUUCGAUAGUGAAAGAUGGUUUUGCUAUCACUUAUAGAUGGACCCGCGCCGUAUUAGCUAGUUGGUAAGGUAACGGCUUACCAAGGCGACGAUACGUAGCCGACCUGAGAGGGUGAUCGGCCACACUGGAACUGAGACACGGUCCAGACUCCUACGGGAGGCAGCAGUAGGGAAUCUUCCGCAAUGGGCGAAAGCCUGACGGAGCAACGCCGCGUGAGUGAUGAAGGUACUUCGGAUCGUAAAUACUCCUGUUAUUAGGGAAGAACAUACGUGUAAGUAACUAUGCACGU
This 384-nucleotide ribosomal RNA is filed under the name Staphylococcus haemolyticus. Its description in RNAcentral is "bacterial SSU rRNA". It matches the Rfam family "Bacterial small subunit ribosomal RNA", at positions 99 to 467 of the family's 1533-position model. The record is from RNAcentral. Lineage: Bacteria; Bacillati; Bacillota; Bacilli; Caryophanales; Staphylococcaceae.